Molecule: ribosomal RNA, 897 nt
Filed under: Striaticonidium cinctum
Lineage: Eukaryota; Fungi; Ascomycota; Sordariomycetes; Hypocreales; Stachybotryaceae
Description: LSU rRNA
Rfam family: Eukaryotic large subunit ribosomal RNA
Source: RNAcentral
GCAUAUCAAUAAGCGGAGGAAAAGAAACCAACAGGGAUUGCCUCAGUAACGGCGAAGUGAAGCGGCAACAGCUCAAAUUUGAAAUCUGCCCCCCCGGGCCGAGUUGUAAUUUGCAGAGGAUGCUUUUGGCGAGGUGCCUUCCGAGUUCCCUGGAACGGGACGCCAUAGAGGGUGAGAGCCCCGUCUGGUCGGACACCGAGCCUCUGUAAAGCUCCUUCGACGAGUCGAGUAGUUUGGGAAUGCUGCUCUAAAUGGGAGGUAUAUGUCUUCUAAAGCUAAAUACCGGCCAGAGACCGAUAGCGCACAAGUAGAGUGAUCGAAAGAUGAAAAGCACUUUGAAAAGAGAGUUAAAUAGCACGUGAAAUUGUUGAAAGGGAAGCGUUUAUGACCAGACUUGGCCCGGUUGAUCAUCCAGCGUUCUCGCUGGUGCACUCUGCCGGUCCAGGCCAGCAUCAGUUCGCUCCGGGGGACAAAGGUUUCGGGAAUGUGGCUCCCUCCGGGGAGUGUUAUAGCCCGUUGCGUAAUACCCUGGGGUGGACUGAGGUCCGCGCAUUGCAAGGAUGCUGGCGUAAUGGUCAUCAACGACCCGUCUUGAAACACGGACCAAGGAGUCGUCUUCGUAUGCGAGUGUUCGGGUGCAAAACCCCUACGCGUAAUGAAAGUGAACGCAGGUGAGAGCUUCGGCGCAUCAUCGACCGAUCCUGAUGUUCUCGGAUGGAUUUGAGUAAGAGCAUACGGGGCCGGACCCGAAAGAAGGUGAACUAUGCCUGUAUAGGGUGAAGCCAGAGGAAACUCUGGUGGAGGCUCGCAGCGGUUCUGACGUGCAAAUCGAUCGUCAAAUAUGGGCAUGGGGGGCGAAAGACUAAUCGAACCUUCUAGUAGCUGGGUUUCCGCCGA